Molecule: non-coding RNA, 72 nt
Organism: Potamilus streckersoni
Lineage: Eukaryota; Metazoa; Mollusca; Bivalvia; Unionida; Unionidae
Source: the annotation of a GenBank genome assembly
GCUCCGAUGGCCUAAUGGUUGGAACGUCCGCCUCGGAUACGGGGGGUCGUGGGUUCGAUCCCCGGCCGAGUA